This 203-nucleotide long non-coding RNA is filed under the name Elaeis guineensis (African oil palm). Its description in RNAcentral is "long non-coding RNA (EGUI_LNC032247)". The record is from RNAcentral. Lineage: Eukaryota; Viridiplantae; Streptophyta; Magnoliopsida; Arecales; Arecaceae.
UGCUGACUGAGAGGCUUGGUCAGUGGGUCUACCAUGUUCUGUAUGGAGUCAACUCUUUGCACCUCGACAAACUUCUUCUCAAGGUAUUCGCAUAUGAUAUGGAACCGCCACUUUAUGUACUUGGACUUCUGGUGAGACUUGAGCUCCUUAGUGAGGAUAUGGUACUGUUGUUAUCAUAGUAUCAUGCAAUGGUAUUUGAUGGC